This 451-nucleotide ribosomal RNA is filed under the name uncultured bacterium. RNAcentral describes it as "partial 16S ribosomal RNA". It matches the Rfam family "Bacterial small subunit ribosomal RNA", at positions 29 to 523 of the family's 1533-position model. The record is from RNAcentral.
AACGAACGCUGGCGGCAGGCUUAACACAUGCAAGUCGAACGGCUGUAGCAAUACAGCAGUGGCGCACGGGUGAGUAACACGUGGAUAUCUGCCUUUUGAUUCGGAAUAACCCUGGGACACUAGGGCUAAUACCGGAUGGUUCCUACGGGAUAAAGAUUUAUCGCCAAAAGAUGAGUCCGCGUCCGAUUAGCUAGUUGGUGAGGUAAUGGCUCACCAAGGCAACGAUCGGUAGCUGGUCUGAGAGGACGAUCAGCCACACUGGGACUGAGACACGGCCCAGACUCCUACGGGAGGCAGCAGUGGGGAAUAUUGGACAAUGGGGGCAACCCUGAUCCAGCCAUGCCGCGUGAGUGAUGAAGGCCUUCGGGUUGUAAAGCUCUUUUGGCGGGGACGAUGAUGACGGUACCCGCAGAAUAAGCCCCGGCUAACUUCGUGCCAGCCGCCGCAGUAA